Molecule: ribosomal RNA, 375 nt
Filed under: uncultured bacterium
Lineage: Bacteria
Description: bacterial SSU rRNA
Rfam family: Bacterial small subunit ribosomal RNA
Source: RNAcentral
UAAUACGGGGGGUGCGAGCGUUGUCCGGAAUCACUGGGCGUAAAGGGCGCGUAGGUGGUUUGAUAAGGGUGUGGUGAAAGUCCGGGGCUCAACCCCGGAUCUGCCGUGCCGACUGUCAAACUCGAGGACUGUAGAGGCAGACGGAAUUCCGGGUGUAGCGGUGGAAUGCGUAGAGAUCCGGAGGAAGACCGGUGGCGAAGGCGGUCUGCUGGGCAGUUUCUGACACUGAGGCGCGACAGCGUGGGGAGCAAACAGGAUUAGAUACCCUGGUAGUCCACGCCCUAAACGAUGUGUGCUGGGCGUCGGGGGGCUUGCCCCUCGGUGCCGGAGCUAACGCGGUAAGCACACCGCCUGGGGAGUACGGCCGCAAGGUUA